AGAACUCUACCAUCCUCGCCCUUGAUGCACCUAACUUGGUCAAGAUCACGCACCUUCCUUUCUCUUUCUUUAACUAACCUGAAUAACUUCUUGUCCCCGCCUUUCUCCCCUAAUUCUUCGUACAUGCGACCAAACGCUGCGUUUUUUGCUUCCGUAACCGCCAUCUUUGCUUCUUUCCUCGCCGCUUUGUAGAUCUCCCUG
RNAcentral lists this long non-coding RNA (201 nucleotides) under Nicotiana benthamiana. RNAcentral describes it as "long non-coding RNA (NBEN_LNC000046)". The record is from RNAcentral. Lineage: Eukaryota; Viridiplantae; Streptophyta; Magnoliopsida; Solanales; Solanaceae.